UACGUAGGGUGCGAGCGUUAAUCGGAAUUACUGGGCGUAAAGCGUGCGCAGGCGGUUUUGUAAGCCAGGUGUGUAAUCCCCGGGCUCAACCUGGGAAUGGCAUUUGGGACUGCAAGGCUGGAGUGCGGCAGAGGAGACUGGAAUUCCUGGUGUAGCAGUGAAAUGCGUAGAUAUCAGGAGGAAUACCGAUGGCGAAGGCAGGUCUCUGGGCUGACACUGACGCUCAUGCACGAAAGCGUGGGGAGCAAACAGG
RNAcentral lists this ribosomal RNA (253 nucleotides) under uncultured bacterium. Its description in RNAcentral is "partial 16S ribosomal RNA". It matches the Rfam family "Bacterial small subunit ribosomal RNA", at positions 524 to 776 of the family's 1533-position model. The record is from RNAcentral.